Molecule: long non-coding RNA, 1902 nt
Filed under: Nicotiana tabacum (common tobacco)
Lineage: Eukaryota; Viridiplantae; Streptophyta; Magnoliopsida; Solanales; Solanaceae
Description: long non-coding RNA (NTAB_LNC007580)
Source: RNAcentral
AUAGGAAGAUGAACUAACUUAAGCACUCAUAUGUGAGAUUCCCAACUAAGAAAAGAAACUGUUGACCAUCAUGCAAGUCAGAAAUACUUAAACAAAAAUAACAAACUAAGAAUAUCCUGAAAUACUAAGCUACUUGAAAGAAAAUCAGACUUAAAUGAAAACCGGAGAUUAAAUAUUUGAGUAUCAUUAUAUUCACUUCCAUUCCAAGGAUUCGAAGGUGUACCUGGAUAUUGAAACAAAGCAAAAAGGAAUGAGAAGUUCAACAAGCAAACAAAUGUGAGCAAAUCAGCAGCUCAAACAACAAUAUACAGCUUUUUAGACCAAUCUUAAACCCAGAAAACCAGAAGUGUUUCAAAAACUUUGAGGUUCUUACUAGAAGAGGGAAACCAAGGAACAAUUCUAAACCAUUUUUAACCAAAUAAUGCAGAAACUUUGAGUAUUUUUUAGGGUCUGGAUUUCUGAUGUUUUUUAGAACUUUUUAGGCAGAAGAUGAUACUGAAUCUGUCUGUGUGAGUGAGGGAAUAUUUUUCUUUUAUAGAGUGCACAAAAAGGCAUCAAAAGAGGAAUAUUCUAACCUAAAAAUUCUAAAAAUCAGAAUAGUACAACAUCUUUUACAGGUGUCUGUCAUUUUCCUUAUCGAAUACUAGCAUUUUAGGCUAAGGAUGAGGACAUCUGUGAAAAGUCUAGAACAUUCUGAUAUUUAGCCUUUGCAAAAGUCUAAUUUUACCCUUUCAUUUGCUAAAUAUUUCAGUUCAACCAAUUCAGUCCUAAUAUUCAGAUUAUUUGAUUUACUCAUUAGCCCCUUCUAGAAACUUCUAGGUAAUUCUAGACUUGGAACCCAUCCCCCUAAUUUAGUUUUCAAUUGACCCUCUUUGUUAUUACUUUUUCAAUUCUUAAACCAUUCAAAGCUUAAAAUCAAACUGACUAAAACAAAACAGCCUAGCUAGAACAAAAUUCCUAAUUGAACCUAAGCUAAUGACUGAAUCAGGGCAUUUAACUAAUUGAAAAUGAACCUGAAUUCCACAACAAUAAACAAAAGAGAAGAAGAGAAAAAGAAAUAACAUGAAAACAACAAUAAAAAACAGAAGCAGUAAUGAAUAAUUCAAUUAUCCUAAAUUCGAUUAAAUUAGCAACUCAUACAAUUAAACUAAUUAACUAGUAAUUAAACUAAUUAGGUUAUUAUUCAAACAAACAGUCUUGAAAGGCAUUUAAAGCUAAACCUAAUAAUUUGGAUUCUAACUAAGCAUUUGAUUAGUCAAAUGGCCUUAAUUAAAAUAUAAUGGCUAAGCACAUGCUAGUCAGAUAGAGGAAGAAAGAAAAUACAGAAGAAAAAAGAAAGAGGAAAAAGGAUAACGGGAUACCUAACACAAUCAAUAGGGACGACUGGCUUGAAAAGACUCCGGCAAAGCAACAAUCUUCGAAAUAGACCAAAACUAAUGCUAAUCAAUCGUUCUCGCUGAGAACAAUCAAUUAGCGUAGGUUUCGACCAAAUCGAGUUUUGAAAGCUUCGGGAAAAAUCAAAAGAGGACGGGCUAAGGUUUUCUAUUUGUGGUUUUGGAUCUAGAUUUGGGGGAAUUCGGUGGGGUUUUGGGUCAAAUUGGUGGUGGAAUGAUGAAGAUGGUGAGGUGAGGAGUAUAUAUGGUGAAUUUGGGUUAGUUUAGACGAACUAGGAUUUAGAGUCUGAUUUUAGAUCCAAGAUUUGAGGAUUUGGGUAGGGAUUUUGGGGAAGAGGUUUGUGGAUUUGGAAAGGGGAAGGGAAGGAGAUUAUGGAGUGUUAAUUUGAGGGUGUUUGGAGCACCGGAACCGUCGUGAGGCGAUUUCCGUUGGGUGGUUGAUGGCGGAGGUUGCGGAGGAAAUUAGGGCGGCUAGGGUUCUUAGGGUUUGGGUGUUAGAGACGAAGUG